UAUUUUUCCUUUCCGCAAAUCUGAGAAAAUAUUAUAAUAUUUUCUCAGAUUUGCGGAAGGGAAAAAUAAA
This is a non-coding RNA of Paramuricea clavata, 70 nucleotides long. NCBI's taxonomy places the organism in Eukaryota, Metazoa, Cnidaria, Anthozoa, Malacalcyonacea, Plexauridae. The record is from the annotation of a GenBank genome assembly.